CCUACGGGAGGCAGCAGUAAGGAAUAUUGGUCAAUGGGCGCAAGCCUGAACCAGCCAUGCCGCGUGCAGGAAGACGGCCCUAUGGGUUGUAAACUGCUUUUGAACAAGAGAAAACCUCGGUACGUGUACCGAGCUGAUAGUAUUGUUAGAAUAAGCAUCGGCUAACUUCGUGCCAGCAGCCGCGGUAAGACGAAGGAUGCAAGCGUUAUCCGGAUUCAUUGGGUUUAAAGGGUGCGUAGGUGGCCUGAUAAGUCAGUGGUGAAAUCUCUCAGCUUAACUGAGAAACUGCCAUUGAUACUGUCGGGCUUGAGUACAGAUGAUGUGGGCGGAAUAUGACAUGUAGUGGUGAAAUACUUAGAUAUGUCAUAGAACACCGAUUGCGAAGGCAGCUCACAAAACUGUAACUGACGCUGAGGCACGAAAGUGCGGGGAUCAAACAGGAUUAGAUACCCUGGUAGUCCGCACCGUAAACGAUGAUUACUCGUUGUUGGCAAUAUGACCGUCAGCGACGACGACGAAGACGAGUAAGUAAUACCGACCGUACGGGAGGUACGGACCGGACCGAACGGUACGAAACGUAACGAAACGGAAAGUUAGUACGGACGUUAGGAGACGCGGACGACGGACGACGACGAGGGGAGGAGG
RNAcentral lists this ribosomal RNA (645 nucleotides) under uncultured bacterium. RNAcentral's name for it is "bacterial SSU rRNA". The stretch from base 1 to 540 matches the Rfam family "Bacterial small subunit ribosomal RNA", at positions 338 to 873 of the family's 1533-position model. The record is from RNAcentral.